This is a non-coding RNA of Vicugna pacos (alpaca), 941 nucleotides long. Lineage: Eukaryota; Metazoa; Chordata; Mammalia; Artiodactyla; Camelidae. The record is from RefSeq and is a predicted model, not a curated record.
GAGAAGCCAGCACAUCCAAACACCUUCACAGGCAUGUCAGAGGUUUUCUGCCCUGGCCAACCCCCUCACAGACUCUCUGCACUUCUGCCCCAUUGGAGUGCUCUCCACCUGGCAACAUUUUCCUGCACCAGUCACCUUGAAGGCUCUCUCUUAGUGGCAGACAGAUGCCCCUGCCAGGUGAGGAAACCAGAGCUCACACACCCAGGAGGUGGACAAGCCUGGACUCAAGGCCUUGCAUUUCCUGCUACACCAACCGUGUCUGUUUUAACAGACAGAAGAAUGCUGAGCUUAAUAAAACACACACACAACAGUUCAUGCUCAUAUCAUAAUCCUGUAUGUGUAAAUUUCCCAAUGGGAGAAGCAAAACAAAUCCUUGCUCAUCGAAACCAAGAAUAAUGUCAAAAAAUGGCAUGUGUUUAUCUAAUUUACUUGCAUGAAAUGGGGCCUUCUAGGAUGCAUGAAGAGUUGGUGAUACACCGUUGGUUAGCGUGUUGGGGCUCAAAAUAUUACUGUAUUACUAUUGUUAUUAGUUAGAAUAUUUAAUAGCCACCAGUCUGUAGAAACAGUAGGAUUUCUAUGGUUUGUUCUCUACUUGGAGUUCAAAUGAAGUUUAAAAAUGCCCAGCUCCAGUGAGAAUAUGAAAUUAACUGAGUUUUAAGAGGCAUUCUCAAGGCCACAGUGAAGAGCAGUGAUGGGGGUGAGGUAGGCUAAUUGCCCAGCUUCUUGUCUGUGAUCAGAGAGGCUACUGCUGCUGUAUUGAGCUCUUCAGAGAAGCUGACACCACAAGGAAGGUGGCCAGUAUCCCUCCUGGGGCUAAAGCCCUGAACCCCACAUCCUCACCAGCAUUUGGUAUUGUCAUUUUUAAAACUUUUAGUUAUUCUAGUGUGCAAUGAUACCCAAGAUUGCUUCUUUUAUCAUUUCUUUGUGCUCAGAGAACUUCC